CCUACGGGUGGCAGCAGUGAGGAAUAUUGGUCAAUGGGCUUACGCCUGAACCAGCCAAGUCGCGUGAGGGAAGACUGCCCUAUGGGUUGUAAACCUCUUUUGUCAGGGAGCAACGCCGGCUACGUGUAGCCGGACUGAGAGUACCUGAAGAAAAAGCAUCGGCUAACUCCGUGCCAGCAGCCGCGGUAAUACGGAGGAUGCGAGCGUUAUCCGGAUUUAUGGGGUUUAAGGGGUGCGUAGGCGGAAUGCCAAGUCAGCGGUAAAAUCGCGGGGCUCACCCGCGCUCCGCCGUUGAAACUGGCGUUCUUGAGUGGGCGGAAAGUAUGCGGAAUGCGUGGUGUAGCGGUGAAAUGCAUAGAUAUGACGCAGAACUCCGAUUGCGAAGGCAGCAUGCCGCAGCGGAACUGACGCUGAAGCACGAAAGCGUGGGUAUCGAACAGGAUUAGAUACCCGAGUAGUC
Molecule: ribosomal RNA, 460 nt
Filed under: uncultured bacterium
Lineage: Bacteria
Description: partial 16S ribosomal RNA
Rfam family: Bacterial small subunit ribosomal RNA
Source: RNAcentral